Xenopus tropicalis (tropical clawed frog) is the source of this 1957-nucleotide RNA transcript. It is a transcript of the gene named coiled-coil domain-containing protein 77-like, with no coding region annotated. The transcript has 10 exons. NCBI's taxonomy places the organism in Eukaryota, Metazoa, Chordata, Amphibia, Anura, Pipidae. The record is from RefSeq and is a predicted model, not a curated record.
UCGUAGAGUUAGGGGUGGGGUAACUGGUGGUAGGAGACCUGUGUAGUGGCUUGUACCAGAGCUCGUAAGGUGGGGUACAGGUCACCAUUCCCCAACGUGCUGUUCAGUCUGGGGAUCCAUACGCCCGGAAACUGCAACGUUCAGGCCAGGCAGGUACCAAACAAGCACCUCUGAAAGCACCGGGGAAGCAAGACAGAAGCAAAGAGGGCAAGAAAGAAGAUCCCCAGAUUCUUUUGCUUCAGGUGGAGGCGCUGCAGGCCCAGCUGGAAGAGCAGACACGACUAUCCAAAGAGCAGAUAGAGACUCUGUUAGAGGACAGGAAGGUCCGCGUGGAAGAAACCCAGGUGCAGCACCAAAGAGACCAGGACAAAAUGAAAUCUAUGACAGAUAAGCUGAAUAAGACCCAGAAAUUGCUGUACGAGAGCACCAGGGAUUUCCUGCAACUGAAAUAAUUUGAGUGCCGAGCCAAUGAGAAAUCUUGGAUGGCCGAGAAAGAUCGGCUGCUCCGAGAGCUAGACCGGUGCCGAGAGCAGUUGGCUUUAAGUAGUGACACAGAGCAAGAGCGGGAACACGAGCGAGAGAUCCUGCGUUUGUCAUUGGUCGAGAAAGCAAGUCGGCACUCGCACAGUGAGGAAGUGAAGGGUAAUUCCCAUUCUCUUACAGAGCAGCUGGCACAAGCACAUCGCCUCGCUGAAAUGUACCGGGAGCAGUGUGUGACACUGGAGGAUGAGCUGGGAAAGAUACGAGAGGAGGGAGACGUGGGCAGGGAAAUCUUCAAGGAACGUUCAGAUAAGGUGGCCAAGCGGCUGCAAUUGAUGGCGCAGAGAUACGAGGCUCUGGAGAAAAGGCGCAACAUGGAGGUAGAGGGCUAUAAGACUGACAUCAAGCUGCUGAGACAGCGGUUAAAGGAUGUAGAGAAGCAACUAUUCAAGGUGACGCUGAACAUCGGGCCAGACCAAGAUCUUGCUAUUCUGGAUGCAGUGCGGCAGGGCAACAAAAAGACACAAAAAAUUCAAGGGGAACUGCGCAACUUAAAGGCCAAAAUCUGUGGCCUGGGGAAUGAACUGAGAAUCGGAUAGAGCACAAGGGAGACUGACGGAGCUGCCACACUAAACAAGGAGCCACAGUGCCUCGUUCCUAAGGAGAGAUUGUUCAGUGUUAUCCAUGGAGUAGGUGUUGGGCGAUAUUCCUCUGCACCCCCCUUUCACCCCGGAGCUCGGCAAUGAAAGGGUGCGUGAGGAGCUGCCUUGCAGAUGGUCUCCUGCCUGGGUCUCUCUGCAGGCACUCGCUGAUGAAGAAGCGGAACUCGUCACUCCUGGAAAAAAAAACGGUGGUAAAAUGAUAAUUGUUUGUGUUACAUUUCCCAGAGUUCACAGUGUGACGACUCCCUGAUCCUGCCGCUCUGUACCCAACCCAAUCACAGCACAGGCAGCAAUAGGGGGUGAGCCCCUUCCCUUCUAAGGGUUCCACUGCUCUGCCUGAAAUGGGGGGCUAUUGCACUUACUUAUGAACCCUGAAUUAUAAGGGUACAUUUACCUGUGACCAAAUUACUGUCUCUCUGGUUUUGCCUAUAUCUUAGCCCGGCUUGUAUUGGCUGCCAGAUACCGGCCCCAAGAGCUCAAGCUCAGCACGAGAGUCUGCGUUUGCGCAUAGAGCUACACAUAUUACGCAUCACCUUCACCCUUAUUUCAGCCCGGACUGGGAUACAAAAUAGGCCCUGGCAUUUCAUAUCCACAGAGGCCAAAACAGCCCCCCAGCCCAAUAAAUAGCCACUGCCUAUGGCAUCUCACAGCAUUUACCUGCCCUCACUUAUUUCCCAUUUAUCCCUUCCCCAUCCUUACUUUAUGUCAUAUCCCAAUGUCCCCCUCACCAUAAAGUCUACCUUGCCCAUUUCUCCACCUUUCCUGACUCAUUCACACACCUUCUUACACGCUUUCCAUUUCCCCACCCUCCCCAC